Molecule: ribosomal RNA, 426 nt
Filed under: uncultured bacterium
Lineage: Bacteria
Description: bacterial SSU rRNA
Rfam family: Bacterial small subunit ribosomal RNA
Source: RNAcentral
GUGAGGAAUUUUCCGCAAUGGGCGAAAGCCUGACGGAGCAAUGCCGCGUGAAGGAUGAAGGCCUAUGGGUUGUAAACUUCUUUUCUCAGAAAAGAAUUAUGACGGUAUCUGAGGAAUAAGCAUCGGCUAACUCUGUGCCAGCAGCCGCGGUAAGACAGAGGAUGCAAGCGUUAUCCGGAAUGAUUGGGCGUAAAGCGUCUGUAGGUUGUUUAAAAAGUAUUCUGUCAAAGAUUAGGGCUUAACCCUAGAUAGGCAGAAUAAACUUUUAAGCUAGAGUUUGGUAGAGGCAGAGAGAAUUCCCGGUGGAGCGGUGAAAUGCGUAGAUAUCGGGAGGAACACCAAAGGCGAAGGCACUCUGCUGGGCCAAUACUAACACUGAGAGACGAAAGCGAGGGGAGCAAAUGGGAUUAGAUACCCGAGUAGUCC